CUUUUACAAUGAAGAGUUUGAUCCUGGCUCAGGAUGAACGCUAGCUACAGGCUUAACACAUGCAAGUCGAGGGGCAUCGAGAUGUAGCAAUA
RNAcentral lists this ribosomal RNA (92 nucleotides) under Bacteroides sp. 224. RNAcentral's name for it is "partial 16S ribosomal RNA". It matches the Rfam family "Bacterial small subunit ribosomal RNA", at positions 1 to 84 of the family's 1533-position model. The record is from RNAcentral. Lineage: Bacteria; Pseudomonadati; Bacteroidota; Bacteroidia; Bacteroidales; Bacteroidaceae.